Molecule: long non-coding RNA, 1230 nt
Organism: Mauremys reevesii (Reeves's turtle)
Lineage: Eukaryota; Metazoa; Chordata; Testudines; Geoemydidae
Exons: 3
Source: RefSeq, a predicted model, not a curated record
AUUUAUAUUUGUGUCAAGUUAGUGUAAAAUACAACUGUCAACUUGUGCAUGACUCCAUAAAGUACAGAGCAGGAGAGAUUCAGGCCCUUAGUGCCUUGAUUUAAAGGCACAACAGUGUGUUAAUUGUUAUGAGAGAAGCACAAAUCUUGUAUUUGGCUGUUGGCAGGGGUGAAUUGGUGACACUGAAUGAGGACGAUGUGAGGGAUGAGGAGUUUGCAAAUUCAAGCCUCGACCUGCAAUUUGUACUUGCUGUGCUGGCAGAAUCAUUGAUUUCAGUGUGACUACUCUCAGUGAAUAAAGACUAUAAUUCAACUCCACUGAAGCCAAAAUCCAUCCUAGCUAAACAGGAGCACCUUUGCUGAAGUUGCAGCCAGUGACAUCCGUGGUGAACUUGGCCCACUGCCUAGACUUAUUGCAGCAGGACUGAGAACAGCGCAGUCUGGACCACAUGCUUCCAGUCACUUCAAACUCAUUCCUCUGCUCAAGAUUCUUGUCCUUUCAAAUUGUUCUGGUAUUCUAGUGGAUUGAGUUGUUAUGGCCUUGUCCACAGCUGAACAGUUGAAUGAAAAGAAUGUUUUUUUCCAAAUAAUUUUAGUUAGAGGUUAUUUUCUGACUUCUUCGGUUGUUAUGACUGGAAGCUAAUUUCAGAAGUGGAAGGAGAAGGAGCUGCUUGCACUAAAAGGAACAAAGUUUGUUUCAUCCCGGCAAAUAGUUUCUAAAAAUUAAACACAAUGGUAAAUUAAGCACAAUGGUUUGAAAACAAUGGUUUCUAAAAAUUAAGCACAAUGGUCCAGUCACUGGGGUUUAUUUUGGGGUCCACUCACUGGGACUGAUCUCCUGUAAAAAGAUACAAUAUUUAUAUCUUUGUAACAAAUCUGGGACUACACAGGAUUGCCUAUUGGUCACUGUCCUGUGCAGCAUGGCUGCCCAAAAUCUUAUGGGUAACAGGAGUAGAACUCUCAUCUUCAUCUGCUCCUAAAGCACAGCCCCCUACCACUAGAGUUAAAGAAGAAUCUCCCUUAACGGUUAGCAGCAUAGGGUUUAUGACAGGCAGCUGAGCAGUCAUGACUUCAUCCCAUAGAGACAGUUUAAAAAGGAGCCGGGGCGGGGGGCCGGAGGCCUAGCUGUUAAGUACAGUGUCACGCAUAACAAUAUUAAAAGAAGAUUGAGAGCCAGUUAGACCUUGAAUUGGUCUUCAGUCAUGCAGUGCAAAAGCUAUUAUUGUAAAUU